GUCUUCAAUCGUCGCCCGCAUUCAAUUCAAUCCAAUCGAUAUCUCAACUGCUGCACUUGAAACCCUUUUCCGUAGCAACAAUAGAUAAAACUUCAUGAUUGACUCUCUUCCUCUUCCAUAUCUCUGGCUUCACAGUUCUAACCCUAAUACCCAAAUCCAGUUUCCUCUCAUCUAUACGACAUCCUCUAUCUCCAAACACCACCUCCACUUCGCCGGCCACCCACCCUCAUCAAGCACCGGCCGUCGCCACCACUCACACGAUCCAUCUCCGUCGCCGGUCACCCACCACCGUACUCCUCCACCCUGAACCCCAAUCGCCGUCGGACACCUCUUCUGCCGCAUACCAGAGUCUUAAUUGAAGGCUGUAGCCGAUUCAUCUCAUCUUAUGAAACAAAGGUGGUUAUGAACGCUGAACAGGUAAUUUGUCUAACGGAGGAACCAGUCCCAGCUAUUUCCCUCCAGACGUUACAUUUUAUAUUCAUGGAAGACCAAUUGAAGCUCAUAGAGUAAUCUUGAGUGCCAGGUCACCCUACUUCCAGAAAAAGUUCGAAACCGAUUGGAGGGAUCGUAAAGAAAUAAGAUUCUUGAGAGAAAAGUUAUCUUAUCCUGCAUUUUACAGCCUUGUUCACUUCUUUUACUCCGAUAGACUCGAGAAGAUCUUAGCAUGGAAGCUUUUGAGAAGAUGAUACAGUACAUGUACACUGACGGUUUGAAGGAUAUCAACCCUGAACAGGCUGAAGAAAUGUUUGAUGCUGCUUCAAGAUACUUAUUAUUUCCUCUUAAACGGGCGGUUGCUGAUGCUCUACUUCCUCAUCUACAAAUGGUCCCUCCUUCACAAUUAUGCCACUGGUUGAUAUUAUCCGACAUGUAACUGGUGAGUUUGGUGAGGGGAAGGCAUCUCAUGUUCUAUAUAGACAUUCCAAGCUUACCCCCUUACUACAUUGAGUAGCCAUGGACAUGUUUCACUCAUCUGCCCUAUAACUGGUCUUCGAAUGAUAUCAGCAAAAGCCAUUGACUUCACAACGUUUUCCCUAAAUUUGCCUAUGUGCGAGCUUUCUUUGAUGUUCAUGAGCAAGAAAGAAGCUAUCCAGGAUGGAUUCCUUUGGAGAUUACAUAACAGAAUAUGACGGAAUGUGUUGGUGGAUCGCACCCUAUGACUUUUGAUGAUGUAAGCUAGCGUUACCACACACACUGUGACCCCAAGGCUCAACACUUCUCAGUCCCUUGAGUUGUCUUUCAUCAUCGUAGAAUGGUUGAGGAAGAGAAGAAUGGGGUCUCCAAACUCGCCCUUUAAAAUUUUAGAUCUAUCAACUGCUCGAUAGAGUUGUAUUUUGUUUUUGUUUUUUGUUUUUUGUUUUUUUUUUUUUGGUGAAAGGUUGUUUGUGGGAUCUUGAGCUGAUGUCAAGUUAGACAAAGCAUUGCUACAUGAUAAUGAGUCAUAGUUAUGCUAUGUAGAUUAGGCAUGUUAGGAUUGGGUCAUGAUCUAGAUCUGAUCCAUACAGGAUUGACGGAUCCAAUUGGUAUAA
This is a long non-coding RNA of Helianthus annuus (common sunflower), 1526 nucleotides long. RefSeq lists it as uncharacterized. Lineage: Eukaryota; Viridiplantae; Streptophyta; Magnoliopsida; Asterales; Asteraceae. The transcript has 7 exons. The record is from RefSeq and is a predicted model, not a curated record.